This is a small nuclear RNA of Podarcis muralis (Common wall lizard), 189 nucleotides long. Its record names the gene U2. It matches the Rfam family "U2 spliceosomal RNA". Rfam says of the family: U2 is a small nuclear RNA (snRNA) component of the spliceosome (involved in pre-mRNA splicing). The record is from Ensembl. Lineage: Eukaryota; Metazoa; Chordata; Lepidosauria; Squamata; Lacertidae.
ACACUUCUUGGGCUUUUGGCUCCAAUCAGGUGUGGUAUCUGUUCUUAUCAGUUUAAUAUCUGAUACGUCCUCUAUUUGAGGACUAUAUAUUUAAUGGAUUUUUAGAGCUGGGAGACGGAAUAGGGGCUUGCUUCAUCCACUCCAUGCAUCAGCCUGGUAUUGCAAUACCACUAGGACGGUGCAUCCACA